CAGCAGGCGCGCAAAUUACCCAAUCCCGACACGGGGAGGUAGUGACAAUAAAUACUGAUACAGGGCUCUUUUGGGUCUUGUAAUUGGAAUGAGUACAAUUUAAAUCCCUUAACGAGGAACAAUUGGAGGGCAAGUCUGGUGCCAGCAGCCGCGGUAAUUCCAGCUCCAAUAGCGUAUAUUAAAGUUGUUGCAGUUAAAAAGCUCGUAGUUGAACCUUGGGCCUGGCUGGCCGGUCCGCCUCACCGCGUGCACUGGUCCGGCCGGGCCUUUCCUCCUGGGGAGCCGCAUGCCCUUCACUGGGUGUGCCGGGGAACCAGGACUUUUACUUUGAAAAAAUUAGAGUGUUCAAAGCAGGCCUAUGCUCGAAUACAUUAGCAUGGAAUAAUAGAAUAGGACGUGUGGUUCUAUUUUGUUGGUUUCUAGGACCGCCGUAAUGAUUAAUAGGGAUAGUCGGGGGCAUCAGUAUUCAAUUGUCAGAGGUGAAAUUCUUGGAUUUAUUGAAGACUAACUACUGCGAAAGCAUUUGCCAAGGAUGUUUUCAUUAAUCAGUGAACGAAAGUUAGGGGAUCGAAGACGAUCAGAUACCGUCGUA
Molecule: ribosomal RNA, 592 nt
Filed under: uncultured fungus
Lineage: Eukaryota; Fungi
Description: SSU rRNA
Rfam family: Eukaryotic small subunit ribosomal RNA
Source: RNAcentral